This is a non-coding RNA of Chaetura pelagica (chimney swift), 72 nucleotides long. The record is from Rfam. NCBI's taxonomy places the organism in Eukaryota, Metazoa, Chordata, Aves, Apodiformes, Apodidae.
GCCGGCGUCAUUUUUGUGAUUUGCAGCUAGUAAUCUGGCUCCAGUUGCAUAGUCACAAAAGUGAUCGUUGGC